CAAAAAAGUUCUGAGGGAAAGGAAAGAGACUUGGGAGAAUAAAGUCCCUUCUUUUCUUUUCAUUCAAAUCCUUUUUCCCUAACUUCUAUCAAUUCCUUUCCCUCUGAGCGGGAAAGUUAUAUCAUAGAUUAAACAUUAUCUUCAUUUGAUCGUGAGAAGGCGUAACAACUUUCUUUCGUUUUCGUUUGAAGUAACCAACUUUAAAACCGUUGCCGUUAGAGGUUUGCUUCCAUUUUGUUUUGGUUAAGCUGAACCCAUGAAACGGUGACGACCUGAAGUCUGGAAUAUUA
RNAcentral lists this small nucleolar RNA (290 nucleotides) under Naumovozyma dairenensis CBS 421. RNAcentral's name for it is "Small nucleolar RNA snR42". It matches the Rfam family "Small nucleolar RNA snR42". Lineage: Eukaryota; Fungi; Ascomycota; Saccharomycetes; Saccharomycetales; Saccharomycetaceae. The record is from Rfam by way of RNAcentral.